GUAUUGUAUUGCGUUAAACGCAGCAUACAUUCCACAAGACUUUGUUACAGUGUGUAUGUGUAAAGAAGCAGAACCACAGCACAGGAAGGGCAAAGCCCCCCUCUGACCACGGAACUGCGGAGGGUGCACAGGUGUGAUUGGAUGUGUGAACAGAGCGUGCACAUGUCCCUGUUUGAGGACCAGCAACAACCCUUGUUUACAAUUCAGUAAUGAUCCUUCCGCAGGUUCACCUACGGAAA
RNAcentral lists this unclassified non-coding RNA (239 nucleotides) under uncultured fungus. Its description in RNAcentral is "sequence contains ITS1". The record is from RNAcentral. Lineage: Eukaryota; Fungi.